Homo sapiens (human) is the source of this 1660-nucleotide long non-coding RNA. Ensembl annotates it as long intergenic non-protein coding RNA 343. Lineage: Eukaryota; Metazoa; Chordata; Mammalia; Primates; Hominidae. The record is from Ensembl.
AUGGGAAAGAAACCUGGAAAGGUAGGGAGGUAUGGAUAUGGACAAGCUAUGCCAAGGAGCAGGGCUUUGUCAUGGAGAGUGACUAGGUGCUUUUACAUAGGAAAGUCACCUGAUAAUAUUAAAACCUGUGAAAUAUCACUCUGGUGGAAGUGUGAAUGAAUUUGAAAGGGGUGUAACACUGUUCUACUUUGUUUACUCCUCAGUACCCUUGGCUGUGUACAUUUGAGUAAAGAGAGCACUAUAAAAUCAAAAACCAAUGAAAUGGUUUCCAGAACACAGAACUAUUAAGCUUAAGAAAAGGACAGAAGGAACUGAAGAGAGAGGAACUGUUUUGGAGCAUCACACUUCCACCUCAGAAGAAAUAAGGAAGGAAGGAGGAGGGUGUUCCCACGGCUCUUCAACCAGGCCGGCUCUUCAGCCUACAUCCCCAUCUCAUCAAGUAAAAGGGAUUUUUCAACUGGACCAACCAGAUGGUUUAACAGUGCACUCCCACACCAUUCAACUACGCAAGGGAGAUACACUUAACAUAUGCAGUCGUAUAACACCUACUAACAUUUUCAAACAUUAAACCUUUAAAAAAGAGUUCUAAAGAAAUAGAAGCUUGAAGUAUCAUCUCUCAAGUAUAUAGACACUACUUCAUGGUGUGGUAAUAUAUGCAUAUAGAAGCUAGUAAACACCUCCAGGAGAUGCAAAAGGAAUUAGAACUGCCACAAGGUGCAAGCAAAACCUUGAGGUAAUCAAUCUGCAUCCCAUUUUGGAUGAGAAUAUUUGCAACUUUGAAGGUUAUUUUAAGGACAGCAGCAGAAGAAUUAUGGCAGGUAUCUGAAAUUCAUUUCUGUGCUUUGCCGAGGACCCAUGGGAUGCCAUUUGCAGAUGAGAAAACUAAAGAAUAGCUUUAUCUUCCAGCUCUUCACGGAAAAAAAAAUGGCAACAAUAAAAUCAGCAACUCCUGCCAAAUAAAUGGGCAUAAAAAAGAAAUCAUAGACUGCUGGCAAUGGUGGGGAAAAAGUUAUAAAAAUUGUCUCUGCACCAUCUUCCUUUUGUCCUCUAAAAUAUUCACAUUAGCAAAAGUAUAUAACAGCUGAUGAAGAAAUACUGAUAAUUUGUCUUUCUUCUUUAAAAUAUGAAGACUUCGAAGUUAUUUAUCCAAACCAACCUGAUCAUUUCUUAAGAGUGAAUAUACCUUGGAAGACGUGUCCUGCCUUUAGUAGCGUCACAAUGGAUUACAUCCUCUAUAAAGCAGUCUGGGGUGAGAAAAUCGAAUUUGGACACCGUUGAGGAGACUAUUGCAGUCAUCCAAGCUCAAGAUGGUGGAGCUUCAUCCUUGAGAAUAACCAAUGGGGAUAGAUUUAAGAGACACUUAGAGUCUGCAGCCAACAGGGCUGAAUGAGCAGAGAGUUAUGAUUCAGAAGAUCAUCUAAAAUUGAACAGCUGCCACUACUGGCAAUAAGUCUACUGCCAUUUGGUAGAUAACCUUCUUAUCACACAGAAAAAUAUCAGUACAGACAAAUAGACCGCAAAGAAAAUGAGACCAUCAGCAAAGAAGAUAAAGAAGUUUGUACAAAGCAACUUUUUAUAAAUGGAUGGCUGUCAGGCAAAAAUAAAUUUCCUGUGGACAAGACCAAGAGCAAGGCAAGAGGAAAAUAAACAUGUUUAAACU